AUGUACACCGAAGAGGAAGCAGAAGAAGCACGUCAAGACGGCGUCGACCUGCUGGAAGAGGGCCGGCUGUUGGCACUCAGCCAGUCCAGCAUCUACCAGCAGAGUCUGCGCCGAUACUACAACCGGAAGGUCAGGCCGAGAUCUUUCCAAGAGGGCGACUUUGUGCUCCGGCUGAUUCAACGAACAGCUGGCCAGCACAAGUUGUCGGCGCCUUGGGAAGGCCCCUUCAUCGUCAGCAAAGUGCUAGGCAACGACUCCUAUUACCUAAUCGACGCCCAGAAGCCCCGAGCACGCAAGAGGGACGACUCCGGCAAAGAGUCAGAAUGA
This 327-nucleotide ribosomal RNA is filed under the name Triticum aestivum (bread wheat). RNAcentral describes it as "partial small subunit ribosomal RNA". Lineage: Eukaryota; Viridiplantae; Streptophyta; Magnoliopsida; Poales; Poaceae. The record is from RNAcentral.